This 750-nucleotide long non-coding RNA is filed under the name Chinchilla lanigera (long-tailed chinchilla). RNAcentral describes it as "lncRNA (ENSCLAG00000026097.1)". The record is from RNAcentral. Lineage: Eukaryota; Metazoa; Chordata; Mammalia; Rodentia; Chinchillidae.
UGCUUCUUCUGCCGUGUAUAUUCUGCUUUGCAGCCUCCUCUGUCUCAUCUGACCAACAUGCCCAGAUCUAACUUCUUUUCUGGUCAGGGCUCUUCUAGAAAGAGGUUGUUUUAGCAAGAAAAAACUAGGCACAGUUCAUACAAGAGCCAUAGGGUGUGUGUGUGUCUGUCUGUCCGUCUGUCUGCCCAUGCGAGUAGUUUCCUGUGAGAAUACCCAGUCAUGGGUGCAAAAGGUAGGCCUUAGGCCCUGCACCGGAGCAAAGAAGUACCCUGUAACAGGCAGGUUGCAGACGGCCAUGGCCAAACCCCUUACAGGCUCCCCGGGGCGGUGCUAGUGUUCGAAGAUAAGCCUCAGAAAGAUAAACCUGAAGACCGAAUGAGAAAGAAAAAGAGAAAAUGAUCCUUCACCUUUUCUAAUCACCAUUUUUCAUCUUUUAUCAAAUGGUUUUCUGAGGAAGAAGUUGUACAAGGGUGGAAUAUAUUGUAUCUCUGAGACUGGCAACCCCGAGGGGCCUCCAGCUGUGUCUACUCGAAGGUGUGCAAGCUCUUUUAGGAAGACCGGGUGGAAUACAGUGACACAAUGGACCAGACCUCUGCCAGAUACACUACUUCACCAACGGUCAGUUCUGCCUCUCAUAGAGUCCCAGUGCAUGAGUCUGAUGUCCUUCAGCCAAGGUCCUUGUCAUUUCAUAGUGAGGCCAGCCUUUUCCCCCCGUUUGCAAUAUUAUGUUCCUCAUCUCCAUCGAAUACG